UUUCCGUAGGUGAACCUGCGGAAGGAUCAUUACUGUGUAACCAAGCUUCGAAGCCUUCGUCUAACCCAACAAGUUCGGCGCUCCCGCGUGCCCCCACACAGCUCCCUCGCACCCCCGUGUGCACCACCGCGACGCUCCCCCUUUUGCCUGUUUGGGGGGCGGCCUGCGUUCUCUCUCCCUCUUUGUACACAAUGUACAAUGUCUUUUUUGUUUUUUCUUUCAUCCAAUCAAUACAACUUUCAACAACGGAUCACAUGGCUCCCUUAUCGAUGCAGAACA
This 279-nucleotide unclassified non-coding RNA is filed under the name plant metagenome. RNAcentral's name for it is "partial contains small subunit ribosomal RNA, internal transcribed spacer 1, and 5.8S ribosomal RNA". The record is from RNAcentral.